GAACGGGUGAGUAACACGUGGGUGAUCUGCCCUGCACUCUGGGAUAAGCCUGGGAAACUGGGUCUAAUACCGGAUAGGACCAUGCUUUAGUGUGUGUGGUGGAAAGUUUUUUCGGUGUAGGAUGAGCCCGCGGCCUAUCAGCUUGUUGGUGGGGUAAUGGCCUACCAAGGCGGCGACGGGUAGCCGGACUGAGAGGUUGGUCGGCCACAUUGGGACUGAGAUUCGGCCCAG
This 231-nucleotide ribosomal RNA is filed under the name uncultured Actinomycetales bacterium. Its description in RNAcentral is "partial 16S ribosomal RNA". It matches the Rfam family "Bacterial small subunit ribosomal RNA", at positions 100 to 334 of the family's 1533-position model. The record is from RNAcentral. Lineage: Bacteria; Bacillati; Actinomycetota; Actinomycetes; Actinomycetales.